Molecule: ribosomal RNA, 253 nt
Filed under: uncultured bacterium
Lineage: Bacteria
Description: partial 16S ribosomal RNA
Rfam family: Bacterial small subunit ribosomal RNA
Source: RNAcentral
UACGUAGGGGGCAAGCGUUGUCCGGAAUUAUUGGGCGUAAAGGGCUCGUAGGCGGUUUGUCACGUCGGGAGUGAAAACUCAGGGCUCAACCCUGAGCGUGCUUCCGAUACGGGCAGACUAGAGGUAUGCAGGGGAGAACGGAAUUCCUGGUGUAGCGGUGGAAUGCGCAGAUAUCAGGAGGAACACCGGUGGCGAAGGCGGUUCUCUGGGCAUUACCUGACGCUGAGGAGCGAAAGCGUGGGGAGCGAUCCGG